This 1157-nucleotide long non-coding RNA is filed under the name Numida meleagris (helmeted guineafowl). Its description in RNAcentral is "lncRNA (ENSNMEG00000008727.1)". Lineage: Eukaryota; Metazoa; Chordata; Aves; Galliformes; Numididae. The record is from RNAcentral.
GUGGGGACAUGCUUCGCUCCAGGGAACUGUUCUGAGCUCAGCAUUAGAAGGGAUGUUCCCAUUCCAGAUAAAUAUCCCAUUCCAAUGGAUAAAGCACACCAACUGGAAGAAGGAUGCUGCUGUGGUUUUUAGUGGUGGAGUAAAAAACGAUCACGUAAACGCUUUGACCCUGGUGAAAAUAUACAAAGAAGCUCUGCCCCUUCCCGGAUUGAAAACUAAGGACCUGUCAGCCCCAGGGAGCAAGUGCACCUGUGCUGAGUGCCAGGAAGUGUGGCUGCCUCUCUGAGUGUGCCUCCUGGCUGCUGGGAGGGCAGGAAGGAAACUGGGAAUGGUUUUACUCAGCAGGGAGGUACAGGGAGCCAUGUCCUCGCCCAUUUUCAAACUUUGAAGAGGAAGGUUGCGUGACUGGAAUAGACCUCAUAGUUUAGCAAGUGAAUAACCAGGCAGCCCGGAGUGCCCAAUGUACAAAUAAUGGCUUCCUUUCCUCUUCUUCCCUCUGUGCCACACUUGUUUCUUUUGUCUUCUUACACAUUAUUCAAUGCCAGCAGAAACUGCAGCUCCUGAGCAGGAUUGAAAGAGCGGGGUGCAUGUCCUGCCUCCCAGCUCAGCCUCGCGAGCUGCCAGCAGCGAGAGCCCAGCCUGCGCUAUGACCGCAGAGCAUUGCACGCACUAGCCAGCCUGCAGCAGGAACACUGCAAAUAAUGGCAAAGAACUGGGCUACGCUACAGGAAGCAAAGCAUUUUAUUGCAUAAAAAUAUGUGGCUGGAAAUUUAGGUAUUCCUGGUGAAUGGGUAAAAUGAAUAGCAAAUGUUUACUUGCUGUACACAAUGUGCAGAGUCUAUUUACCUGUUGUUUCACAUAGGGCUGUUUCUGAGACAACAAAGGUUAGAGCAGGCUGCAGCCUGCUUUGCUGUACUUAAUGAGGCACUCUCCAUUGCUGUUGCGGAAGCAGGAGAGCCAUGCAGAGCCUUCUCGAAGGGGCAGAGGCAGAUGGGCUCAUGUUGGGCUGUUUAACGGCGCAAAAUGCUUUUCAGUUGACAAAGUCAUUAUGACUACGGGAAGCUCUUUAAGGCUCAUAAGCUGUAACUUGAGCAGAAAUCAGAGCUUUGCAGAGGGGUGGAUGUCAGUUGGGUUACGAUCUCCCGUGCCUCCUUCAG